RNAcentral lists this non-coding RNA (87 nucleotides) under Pseudomonas sp. LP_7_YM. The record is from RNAcentral. Lineage: Bacteria; Pseudomonadati; Pseudomonadota; Gammaproteobacteria; Pseudomonadales; Pseudomonadaceae.
UGUAAUGGCGGCUGUACGCGGGGCACACUCGUGUGCGCCAGUUUGGGUGGUUGCUGGUCUGUCAACCCACGUACAGCUGCCACCCAU